UUUACAGAGGAGCCUCAAUCAGACACCUUAGCAGAAGAAAACACCUUUGUGUUCUCACAAAGUCCAAUUUCCCAGUCUCCUCUUACUCGGACUCAAAGUCCUUCUGAUCAGUUUCAAUCAAUAGAAGAUUUUCUAGAAAACUACAAUGGUCGAAAGCCUCUUAUCGGUCUACAAGCUGUUAUUAAGUGCCAGAGCGUGGAUGGGAAUCCACCUCCAUGCUGUUACCUGUGUCAGCUGUGCUCUUUGAAGCUGAAGAAGAAAAAAAUAUUCAGCCAUCUGACUGGCUGUGAUCACCAGCGAAACUACUUAAAAGCUCUCCAUCCACAGCUCUUGCCUAAAAAGCGUAAACACUGCAACACAAAUGAGAUGCUUGAGGAUAUUGCUAUCCAACUGGAGAAAGAGGAUGGAAGAGGACAUAUAAAGGUGAUGAGGUUGUCUGCAUGUCUCAUAAGUGAGGUACUGGAAAAGGAUUAUCAUUGGUGCAUGAGGGUGUUGAACUGUGGAGCCGAUGUGGGGUGGAGAUCAGGUCUGUUGUCUUUCAAGGAAGGAACUAACAACACUACAGGUCCCAGUCAUACUCUUAAACGGCCAGCAGAGUCUGUGCUGCCCCCUUCUGAUAACAGCACCACUGGUCCCAGUCAGACUCUUAAACGUCCAGCAGAGUCUAUGCUGCCCCCUUCUGAUGCACGUGCUUUUAUAGCUCCUGCCGGAGCUCCAACCCAUCAGAUGUCCAAAAAAAUGAAGAAGGGUCAUCCUAAGAAAGUAGUAUGUACAAACAAAGUUAAGGAGCCUGUGUUUAAGGUAAGCCUGUCACUGCAGGAGGGACCUGUUAUCAUUGAGAGAACAUCUCUAAGAGAGACAACCACAGUGGCGCCUGAGAUCGAAGACCAAAGCCCUGCAACCACAUGCGCAGACGAUGCACUGCCUUUAGCGACUAACACGCAUUCUGAAGUUCAAAUGUGCUUUCACAGCUGUAUGUAUGAGGAACAGUUCACUAAUCCUGUUCAUUAUGCAUACUCAGGGCAGUUUGACCAGUCUCAAGUUAUUCAAUAUUUCGAGCCUUCUCUCAGACCUAGGGACUGUGGUCCAGUGGAUGAGGUGGUCACUGUCACGUAUGCUGAUUGGCCGCUGCAGGACUGGUCCUGCAAUAACAACCAGUGGAUUGUAAUGAGGCAAAACAGGGAUGGAAGUGAUCUUCCUUCUGAGUGUGCAAGUUACAUUCAGUACUGAUGAGAAUGAGUCUUGAAGCAUCAACAAAAAAGAUGAAUCAACAAAAGAAGAUGCUGAGAAAUGAUUUAGCAACAGAAUUCUGUCCAAACUGUUUUGUUUUUUUUUGUUGUUUUUUUGUCGUCAAAACCUACGCUUUAAUUUUUUUUUUGUUCAGAAUUUAUUGGAUUUUUCAUCAGUAUUAUUCAUUUAACUUCCUCCAUCAAAAAGACAUUAUUUGUUAGUUACUUCCUG
This 1461-nucleotide long non-coding RNA is filed under the name Sinocyclocheilus anshuiensis. Its description in RNAcentral is "lncRNA (ENSSANG00000011103.1)". Lineage: Eukaryota; Metazoa; Chordata; Actinopteri; Cypriniformes; Cyprinidae. The record is from RNAcentral.